This 5102-nucleotide long non-coding RNA is filed under the name Salvia miltiorrhiza (redroot sage). RNAcentral's name for it is "long non-coding RNA (SMIL_LNC007694)". Lineage: Eukaryota; Viridiplantae; Streptophyta; Magnoliopsida; Lamiales; Lamiaceae. The record is from RNAcentral.
AUCAACCCAGCACUAAUAAAGACUAUGUUGAAACCCAAUUGAAUGAGCCCAACUGAAAUAAAACCAAGCCCAAACCACUUUUCUCUCUCCUGUUCAUUCUCAUAUGCGUCUCUCUCUCUCUCUCUCACAGAAAUCGCAUUUCUCUCUCCCAAGCCGCCGUCCACCUCCAGCAAGACCGGCGGCGCUUCGCCGGCGCUCAUCACCUUCACCCUCACCAGCAUCUGCAUCUGCCGACUCUCCCUCUCAACAUCUCGCCCUACUCUCUCUGUCUCUAUCCCUUCUCUCGCCAUAAACAGCUGCGGUCGCCGCCGCUCUUCCACGGCUGCCGCUCCGCCGCCUCUUUUCUCAAUCUCCAUCCCCCAAUUGAUCAAACCCCCAGAUACAGAAACCCAAAAUCUCUCUCUCAAGGCUCAAAUUAGAAAACCACUCUCUCUCUCUUCCUCUCACUCAUCCGCCUGCCACCUUCUACCAUAGCGGCGUUUUCGCCGCCUUCUUCCCUCCUCCCUCGCCGGACAGCCAGUGGCCGUCAAAAUUGCCGCCGCCUCUCCUCUUUCUCUCACGGCGAACGGCGAGAUUCACCGUCGCCCCCUUCUCCUUCGGUCCGAACAGCAGCAGCCCAUCAGCCGCUGCCGCCGCUCUCCCUGCUUCAACCCCUCCUAGCCCCGAUUGAACUCACGCCAUACUAACACACACAACAAGAAUCAAGCGCAGCAAGAUCGAAGCUGUAAAGACUGAAGUUUUAUCAAAAUUUUAAGGGUUCGUUCUUCUCUGUGUUUCUUCAAUUCCUUCACAAGAGUCCAGUUCAAAGUGUAAAUGUCAAGGCACAAGUUUGAUGGUAUUGUCUAUGAUGAUUUUAAAUCACCAGAAUUUUAUUCGUAUAUUUCUUGUUUGUUGGUUUCGUGUGUCAUCAAAGUUCAUCAGAACGAAAAGAAUAGUGUGGGAAUAAUGAAGUAAAGAUGGAAACUUUGGGGGUACCGUGGUGUGAUUAUGAAGAAGAUGAAGAGGGCUGAGCUCUGCUUCUGUUCUAUCUGCAAGUAAUAUAUGAACUGAAUAUGUAUGUUGGUGUUGUGAAAAUAUAGAACAAGUCUUGUACGAAAUUGAGUAUGACGAUAGAACCUUGAUGAGGUGAAUGUUUUUUACUGCUUAUGCUGCUCUUGUUUAGGCGCUUCUGUAAAGAAAAAGGGCGAAGUUUGUUUGCUUUUAUUUUUGUGGAAGGAAUGGAACACAAUUACAGUUGUUUUUGGGAAAUAUAAUUGAGAUGGAAAUGAUGAGAUUCAUCUGUAGUGAAGUGUAUGGGUAAUUUAAAGAAGACAAAGGCAGUAGAUGGGGUAAAGAAGAAGGUAACGUGGAUGAUUUCAAAUCAAAGCCUUGGGCAGAUUUUUCUAUCUAUUUUUCUAUCAAAGGUAACGUGGAUGAUCUCUUGGUGUUGAAAUCUGGGUUUCUUGGCAGAUCAAGUGUGGUUGGAAAAAUAAAAUAAAAAAAAAUUGAUAUUGGGCUCUUGAAAAUUUAAAAGGACCAUGGACUAAAAAAUAUAUAAUUGGGCUCUUAUAGAUAUAGGCCCAAAUUUCUUAAUCACAUAAUGGUGGUAUCAAAUAAAGGAUUCAACACUAAAUUCAAGAUUUCUACAAAAAUAUUCUAUUGGGAAAAAUCGGGGUAUUACAUUCAGGGUUUACUAAUUAAAAGCCCGUAUAAAUGCUAAAAUAUACAAAUAUAUAAUUUAAAUAAAUAUGUCAUGCAUUCUAAUUUAAAUAACUAAAAUUUAUAAAUACUUUUUGUAAAUCAUUUUUGUUGAAAUUAAAAUGAAUUCAUUUUCUUUUUCUAGUGUGAAUCAUCUUAACUUCUAAGUUCAAAAAUAACUCUAAACUUAGUAAGGAAAAAAAGGGUGUUACAGAAAUGCUUGCUCAUUAGAGCUAUAUGUCAACACUUGCCCUUUUUGAUAAACUCACAGGAUUUAAAUUUUUAAAAUACAUGUGUUUGCUUUCUCUAUCAUCAAAAUCAUCUCAAUAAUAAUAAAACAUAUGUCUGCAGACAAGAUUGUGUAUGUGCCAACUAUGAGAACUCAUAUAUAUUACAUAUUAUACUUCUUGUAAGGACUCGCUGGUCCAAAUAUCAUACUCUUCUUUCUUGGCAUAAACAUUAACUCUUUGCAUAUGUGAAUCCUUCAAGCAUUUCACAAGGUAAUCUUUUUGCGCGCACUUUCUUGGAAUAAAAUAAUUUGCUUGAAAAAAAAAAUUGAACGUACCUUUGUUGAUCAGGCAGUGAGACGGUGAGCUGAGGGUUGCAACAAUGCUUAGAAGUCUAGAGGUACUAUUCUAGACUCGGAAUAAUUCAACUAGCGGUAGUCAGAGACACGAAAGAAAACUUGUGCUCUGGUACCAUUAUGUCACACCCCGGUUUUACCAAGAAAAAAAUAAAUAGAAAAAUAAUGGAAAAACUUAAUAGAGCUGAAUAAACUUGACAAUUUACCCUUUUAAAUGGGUUACUUAUAAUUUGAAGAGAUAAAAUGAAAGGCAUUGAGUGAUGCCAAUCAAUUGAUAAUAUUUAAACUCACAGGAUCACAUAAGUUUAGUUUCGCGACUCUGAUCAUAAUCAACAAUAACUUUAUUAAUAGAAAUAUGAGUUAAAAAGUCUAAGUUCAACAAGAUAAUAUUGCACCAUAUAAUAGAAGUUCUUAGUUUAGGGAAUUGAAAGACAAGAUAACAAGCUAGUCAUUAGCGGAAGCAAAAGACAGCGUGGAACCCUAGCCUCAGCUCAACCCUGUCUGCACCAACCGAUCAACCUGAAAACAUUUGAAAAUAAUUUGGGCUGAGUACUAGUGUACUCAGUGAACAGGAGUUUACAAGAUAUUUUAUGAAAUAAUUAAAUAGAGCAGUUUAUCCAAUAUCGCAAUCAUGACUCAGAAGGUUUUAAUACAGAAAUCCACUUCUAAGCAUGACAAAACUUUUCUCAUUAAGUGGCGCCAUGUAACGUUCGAUUGUUACUCGCUGCUUAUGAUCCCGGACCUCUAGCCACCGACGGAUCGCUUUCUUUUCUCCCAUUUAUCAAUCUCAGGACGCACCCGGUCAUAUCAAUAAUCAUAACUGUGCUUCGGAACACAUCCAGACAAGCACCCUUAUAACGCCUCUUAGCUUUGUUAGUGCACGAUGGCGAUCAACCCAUCGAGCCACUAACCUUGUGUACACAAUCCUCAUCUAACGUGUUAGGCUAAAUGAGAAUCUCGAUCGAUGCUUAUGCGAGCAUUAAACAAUACAGAACGCACAUAAAAACAUUUAUAUUGGAUAAACAAUUAACUUUCAUGAAAUAUCAGAGCUUAUAUAACUCAAGAUACAUUUGUAAAAUAAAGCCCACCUUGAUUGGACAAAGUCCGAAGUCAAACGUAACUCGUCUCGUAAAAGCAAUGCUAAUCCUCUUGGUUAAUUGAGCCUACAAGAUAAUCUAAUCUUAAUAGGUCUCGUGAUACUAGCCUUAGAUAAUAGCAAAACGAGGCUACUAAGUUCUGAUUCGCUAUGCCCGAAUUUUAAAACUCACUUAAUAAACUUGAAAACAAAUUUUCAGGUAAGGGCACCAACAAUACCCUUGCUUGACUUUUAACUUAAAAACAAUUUAAAUGCUUAAAUAUUUUAUUGCAAAAACAUAUUAUAACUAAAGCUCAAAUUUCAAUUAAGAAAAGAGCCAACUUAAAAAGAAUAAGCCCAGCAAUUAAAUCAACCCAGCACUAAUAAAAGACUAUGUUGAAACCCAAUUGAAUGAGCCCAACUGAAAUAAAACCAAGCCCAAACCACUUUUCUCUCUCCUGUUCAUUCUCAUAUGCGUCUCUCUCUCUCUCUCACAGAAAUCGCAUUUCUCUCUCCCAAGCCGCCGUCCACCUCCAGCAAGACCGGCGGCGCUUCGCCGGCGCUCAUCACCUUCACCCUCACCAGCAUCUGCAUCUGCCGACUCUCCCUCUCAACAUCUCGCCCUACUCUCUCUGUCUCUAUCCCUUCUCUCGCCAUAAACAGCUGCGGUCGCCGCCGCUCUUCCACGGCUGCCGCUCCGCCGCCUCUUUUCUCAAUCUCCAUCCCCCAAUUGAUCAAACCCCCAGAUACAGAAACCCAAAAUCUCUCUCUCAAGGCUCAAAUUAGAAAACCACUCUCUCUCUCUUCCUCUCACUCAUCCGCCUGCCACCUUCUACCAUAGCGGCGUUUUCGCCGCCUUCUUCCCUCCUCCCUCGCCGGACAGCCAGUGGCCGUCAAAAUUGCCGCCGCCUCUCCUCUUUCUCUCACGGCGAACGGCGAGAUUCACCGUCGCCCCCUUCUCCUUCGGUCCGAACAGCAGCAGCCCAUCAGCCGCUGCCGCCGCUCUCCCUGCUUCAACCCCUCCUAGCCCCGAUUGAACUCACGCCAUACUAACACACACAACAAGAAUCAAGCGCAGCAAGAUCGAAGCUGUAAAGACUGAAGUUUUAUCAAAAUUUUAAGGGUUCGUUCUUCUCUGUGUUUCUUCAAUUCCUUCACAAGAGUCCAGUUCAAAGUGUAAAUGUCAAGGCACAAGUUUGAUGGUAUUGUCUAUGAUGAUUUUAAAUCAGCAGAAUUUUAUUCGUAUAUUUCUUGUUUGUUGGUUUCGUGUGUCAUCAAAGUUCAUCAGAACGAAAAGAAUAGUGUGGGAAUAAUGAAGUAAAGAUGGAAACUUUGGGGGUACCGUGAUGUGAUUAUGAAGAAGAUGAAGAGGGCUGAGCUCUGCUUCUGUUCUAUCUGCAAGUAAUAUAUGAACUGAAUAUGUAUGCUGGUGUUGUGAAAAUAUAGAACAAGUCUUGUACGAAAUUGAGUAUGAAGAUAGAACCUUGAUGAGGUGAAUGUUUUUUUUUUUUUUUACUGCUUAUGCUGCUCUUGUUUAGGCGCUUCUGUAAAGAAAAAGGGCGAAGUUUGUUUACUUUUAUUUGGAAGAAAUCGAAUUUUGGGAAGUAUAAUUGAGAUGAAAGUGAUGAGAUUCAUCUGUGGUGAAGUGUAUGGGGUAGGGCUGUGGGUAAUUUAAAGAAGACAAAGGCAGUAGAUGGGGUAAAGAAGAAGGUAACGUGGAUGAUUUCAAAUCAAAGUCUUGGGCAGAUUUUUCUAUCAAAGGUUACG